UACGGAGGGAGCUAGCGUUAUUCGGAAUUACUGGGCGUAAAGCGCACGUAGGCGGCUUUGUAAGUAAGAGGUGAAAGCCUGGAGCUCAACUCCAGAAUAGCCUUUUAGACUGCAUCGCUUGAAUCAUGGAGAGGUGAGUGGAAUUCCGAGUGUAGAGGUGAAAUUCGUAGAUAUUCGGAAGAACACCAGUGGCGAAGGCGGCUCACUGGACAUGUAUUGACGCUGAGGUGCGAAAGCGUGGGGAGCAAACAGGG
Molecule: ribosomal RNA, 254 nt
Filed under: uncultured bacterium
Lineage: Bacteria
Description: partial 16S ribosomal RNA
Rfam family: Bacterial small subunit ribosomal RNA
Source: RNAcentral